CCUCGUUGCUAGGGAAGUGAGGUCACGCAGUAUGGCGGCUCGGAGGCGGAGGGGGUGAGGCGGUGGUCUCGCGGGCAAUCCGCGUCCAUCCUUCUCGGGAGCUGAGGCGACGGUGCUGUUUCUCUCGCUGGUAUCGAGUGGCGGGACCAAACCGCGAUGGCAUCAGGAACCGCAGGGCUGUGAGGCAGCAGAGGGCGAGCCGGCAGGGCGGGUGGAGCGACAGAACCGGGUCGCUGUCGAACUGAUCUGCCGCCAUGGAGCUGAGGGUUGGGAACCGGUACCGACUGGGCCGGAAGAUCGGGAGCGGCUCCUUCGGGGACAUCUACUUGGGUAAGGAGGGAACUGAUAUUGCUGCUGGAGAGGAGGUUGCGAUUAAGUUGGAAUGUGUGAAAACCAAACAUCCUCAGCUCCACAUCGAGAGUAAAAUCUACAAAAUGAUGCAGGGUGGAGUGGGUAUUCCCACAAUUAAGUGGUGUGGAGCUGAAGGGGACUACAAUGUAAUGGUGAUGGAGCUGUUGGGACCGAGUCUUGAAGAUCUCUUCAAUUUUUGUUCAAGGAAAUUUAGUCUCAAGACAGUCUUAUUACUUGCUGACCAAAUGAUUAGUCGGAUUGAAUAUAUUCACUCUAAGAACUUCAUCCACCGAGACGUGAAGCCAGAUAACUUCUUAAUGGGCCUGGGGAAGAAAGGCAAUCUUGUCUACAUAAUAGACUUUGGAUUAGCAAAGAAGUAUCGAGAUGCUCGAACUCACCAACAUAUUCCAUAUCGUGAGAAUAAAAACUUAACAGGAACUGCUCGUUACGCAUCCAUCAACACUCAUCUUGGAAUUGAGCAAUCUCGCAGAGAUGACUUGGAGUCCUUGGGCUAUGUACUGAUGUAUUUUAACCUGGGCUCCCUCCCCUGGCAGGGACUGAAAGCAGCAACAAAGAGGCAGAAAUAUGAACGUAUCAGUGAAAAGAAAAUGUCUACACCCAUUGAGGUUUUGUGUAAAGGAUAUCCUUCUGAAUUUGCCACAUACUUGAAUUUCUGCCGUUCUUUGCGUUUUGAUGACAAACCAGACUAUUCCUAUCUAAGGCAGUUAUUCAGAAACCUCUUCCACCGUCAAGGCUUCUCUUACGACUAUGUGUUUGACUGGAACAUGCUGAAGUUUGGUGCAAGCAGAGCAGCUGAAGAUGCUGAGCGUGAAAGGCGAGAACGAGAGGAAAGACUGAGACAUACACGAAAUCCAGCUGUGCGUGGAUUACCCUCCACUGCUUCUGGCAGGCUGAGAGGGACACAAGAUGUAGCUCCUACUCCUCUUACCCCAACUUCACAUGCUGCCAACACCUCUCCUCGGCCAGUAUCUGGUGUGGAACGAGAAAGGAAAGUGAGUAUGAGAUUGCAUCGCGGUGCCCCAGUCAAUAUCUCAUCAUCUGACUUAACAGGCCGACAAGAUACCUCUCGCAUGUCAACUUCGCAGGGUAUCUACACAGACUAAGUAACGUGUGGCCUGGCUUUGUACAGCUUACCUUCAGUCUUACAGAAUGGGGAAUCACCUGUGCUGUAGGAGUACUGCAACAUUACAGGGAGAGCAGUCUGUUAGGAGGACUGGUGCAGACGCCUAGGGCUUUUUCCAUCACUCCUCAGUGCUGUGUUGGAGUUCUAACUGCAUAAUUUUUGCUGUGGACUCAUUUUAUUCCUCGUUGAUGGAACUUAUUAAUAAAAAGUAACUCAGUUUCUUUUUGGCUUCAUCAUUUAAUUGGCAGAAUUCAUUAUUUUCGAUAGUAUGAGUUUUUAGACACAAAAUCUUACUGCUAGAGGGAAUGCUCUUUUAGAUGGAGGCCAGGUGGAUGUCUCUAAUGAAGACUGAGGGUGAACUGGAUCGGAGAAACAAUUCUGCUGUAACAAAAGUGAAGUGGGAUUUUUCGGGUUGGUUUUCAGCUGAAUUAAUUGUUUCACUAUGUAGCCGCACAAAUGUUUGUGCUUGCACAAGGGAUGAACAGUUCAGGAGCAGAAAGGACUAGACAAGAAUAGGAGACAGGUGAGGUUUUCUCUGUUGGUGGCAAUUUUUGCCAGCCUAAAUUGUUUACUGAACUACAAUUAUUACCACCAGAAAUUAUCAUGUUGAAAUAUUUCACGGCUGAAGUUUGUAAGCAGUAUGAGAACAAAGAGGGUAGAACUGUGCAUAGUUCUUGCAAAUAUUCAUAAACACCUGAUAGAAGAAUGUAAAGAAGGUGCAGCCAGAUUCUUCUCGGUGAUACCCAGUGGUUGGACAACAGACAGUGGUCACAAAUUGAAAUAUAAGAAAUUCCAUUUAGACAUAAGAAGAAACUUUUUUACUGUCAGGGCGGGCAAGGACUGGAACAGGUCGCCCUAAGGGAUCGUGGAGUCUCCCUCUUCCAAAUUACUCGAAACCCAAUUGGACGCUGUCCUGAGCAGCCUGCUCUAGUUGACUGCGCUUUGGGUAGUGAGAUUGGACUAGAUGAUCUCCAGUGGUCCCUUCUGACCUUGGCUGUUCUGUGAGGCUGUGACGCCGAGUACCUCCUGAACGUUUAUUAAAAGGUAAAGAUGGUUUCUUGGUACAGUGUGUAUGGCCAGGGUUUGUCUCUGGCAUUCUGAUCAAAUCUCAGAUGCUUUGUGUCUGUUACCAGUCAGAUAAAUGCUUAAUGGGAGUAAUAGAAGUAGGUGCAGUUAUGUAACUUGAAUAUACUAGAAGAGAGUAUACCUUUCAUUUUUUGGCUAUAUUACUUACACGUAGCUCAGUGCACACGUGACACUUUUCUAAACAUUGUAAGGUACGAGUAAUCCAUGUGGGUCUGCAGAUACAUUUUGAUUCCCACUGUAAAAUGGGAGUACCUUGAGAUUGUGUAGGACUGUGAGGUUUUUUGAGUAGUCUUUAAAUAACCAGAUGCGUAAUUUGUGCUGUGGGUCAAAAGUACAGUCUGACUUAAUGGCACAUUUCCAUACCCGCCCUCUUGCAUGCUCUGCUCCAAGUGUGGCAUCACUGAGUUGACUACUUUAUAUUCCCAAUAGUGGCCUAGUCGGGAUCUUCUCUGGGCUUGUUAGAACCAAUUGUUCAUCAUCUGUUGUCUUCAUUUAGUUCUUAUCAAGGCAGUGAAUCACUGCUUGUCUCCGCUCACGGUGGCUGUAUAAGUGUGUGACUGUAGUAUAAUAUAAACAGUUUUCCACGGGUCUCUCAGAUUUGGAAGGCAAAAGAGAUUUGCUUAGACUUUUACCUUGUAACACUUCCCCUUGAGCUCAAGAGAGAAAAUUUGCUUUUUGUUUUCCCAGUUCUCGCUUACUGCUUAGCAGGCCAGGUGGCUGAAGUUGCAAGUUUUCAUAGUUUAUGCUCUUACUAUCUUCAUAACGUUAAAGGAGUUCUUCUGUAAUCAAAAUUUAUCCACAGAUGUUAACUAGAUUACCAACUGAAGCCACGGGUUUCCCAUUAUCUUUAUACCUUGUUCUUAGUCAGAAAAACCUAAGGUAUCCAGCUUGCAUGGCAAAGUUAUUAAGGAGCAUUUUGCUUGGCUAGGCGUAAGAAUAUAGAAGAUCAUCCAUAACACUUCUUAUCUGGAGAACAGUAAAGAAAAGUAAUGGUUUGUUUAUGUCCGUUCCAAGUGUGUUAGUUUCCUUUGUAAGUCUUAAGUAAUGUUACCACUGUUCCUUUUUCAGAAAGUGUUUAGGCCAUACUCCUGGUAGAAAGCGGCUUUUAAAGUAUGCUAUGCAGAUCUACAGAUGUCUUACGUUAAAAGAACUACAUUUGUUUGAAUUGUUAUUUGUAACUUGACAAAUCAGUUUUGUUAUUUUAUUUUGUUUGGAUGCCCUGGUUUGGUAAGGCAACACUGCAUCUGUAAUCCCCACCUCAUCAUACAGAGGGUGGGCUACUGCUUGUUAAACUCCGGGCAGUGGAAAUGUGCAAAAGUUACUCAAAAAAAUAAUGAAAGCUACUUACCUCUAAGUAGAGUUCUUAAAGGUGACUCCACAUUUUUAUCUUUCUUUUUUUCCAAAAUGAGUUCUGAUCAGUUCAGUCUGAAACUGAAAACUAAGGCUGGGAAUGUAGAUAAUACAAACCAAAAUUCUCAUAUGGAAAAUAGGUCUUCUCAGAGAAAUUUAACACUCGUGGAAAAAUGGUAAUUGGUAAGGAUAGCAAAAUAGGUGUCAUGUAUAUUCCCUGCCUCUAAGGUAUUGUCCACAUAGUACCUAAAUCAUUCUCAUUAGAAGGACUAAUGCUUUGUAACAAGUGUUUAUUGGAGUAACAACUAGCAUGUCUACAAAACUGUUCAUGAAAUGUGUUUCUAAUGAAAUUACAUAAACACUAUGGCACGCAUUAUUCCGUACUUUUCUCGAUUAUAUGGAAGUGAAUGCAGCAACUAAAAACCUGGAAGUUCUGAGAUGUUUGACAGCGAUAAACAUUAGUGAGAGUUGAGCAGUCAGGUAAAGCCUGUUCAAAUAAGAUGUGUAUUACUGCAGCACUCCAAAACCUGGUUAGGUUGAAGGAGUGGAGCCCAUUGUCUUAUGUGUGGGAACUAUACCUGUGGUAAGCAAUGACUGAGAAAGCUUUAAGCGUAAUAUUGGGGUGGUCAAUGUGAUGGCAUAAUGAAAGGGCAUAAUUUCAUCCUUGAAUCUAUGUAUGCUACAGUAGCGAACAGAAAUUGAGAGGUUAUUUCAUGUCAUUAAUGAGACGGAUGCUGGGAUAUUAUGCUUAGUUCAGUUAGUAUCCUAAAUUGUUGAAAAACUGUAAGUAACACAGGUAAGAGACAUAAAAAUUGAGCUUGGGAAAACGGAUUGUACGGUACAAGAGUUUCAAAUUGGCGUCUUCCAGUUUCUCUGAAAGGUGAGAGAUCAUCUUGAGUUAGUUGGUGUAGUACUUUAGAAACAAUGACUUUAACAGGAACUGACAUUUAUGCAGAAAGCAUGUGAAGAACCUAUUGCUUAAAAUUUAAACCACACGCAUUUAGAGAAAAGUGAAACAGAGGUCUUGAGUAAAGGCAGUUAGCCACUGAAACCUCAAAAAGAAGCAGAUCAUCUGUCCCCUUCGCUUUUGCAUCAAAACUGGGUUCGUUUCUAGGUGGUAUAUUUGGGUCUAAAGCAAGCCUAAAUUACAGGUCUCUGUGCAAUGAAGAGUUGUGACAUGUGCUGGACAGAAAAUCAUACCAGCUGUUAAAAAAUCCUUCUGCUCUUAAACUCCAUGUUCUGCUCUUAAACUCCAUGAGUGAUUUGUUUACUAAGUCUCCUUUACCUGGUCAGUCUUUAAAUGUUAAGAAACAUAGUAAAAGGAGGUCAUGAGUAUUCCAGUAAAUGCUACUUUGAAUCAGUUCUGUUGGUCCACAUUGCACAGACUGCAUCCGGAAAGCAGUGGUCAUCUCAAAGAAUCUAGUUACGGGUGAGUAGCCUUCAUUUCCUUUCACAGAAGGUUCAACCCGACUGCCUGUGUUAUACAGUAAGUUGUUUAAUUUUUCUUCCUGAAUGUAGCAUGUUCAGCAGCCAACAGUCAAAUCUGUGUAUUGUUCCUACUGGUAAUAGAGGUAUUCUCUCUGUAGUCGAAAGAAAAGAUUGGAAUGCUGCACAAAGAAAUAUCUGAUUAAGUCUCUUUGACAAGAGUUUUCAGAAGGCUGUAGCCAACGCUGGCAUUGAACAACUUAAGUGUUGUGCCACUUCCCUGGGGAAAAAGCAACGUACUUCCAAUGCCUCUGCAUUUUCCAUCUCCUCAUGAGCAAGUCUUUCUCCGUAUACCCAGCUUAACAGGCAUCAUGCUCUGUGUUGCUCUUCUGACCCUGUCAUCUUUCUCUGAGGAGUAAGGCUUUGUUCCUUUUAUGUAUCUCUUAAUAUGAUAGAAAUGUCUUAAGAAGUCUGAAUUCAGAGCUCCUCAAAAGAUACGUUUGCUACUGGAAGCUUAGGUUGGAUAUUUGUUAGACAUCUUUAUAUAUUGGGGCAGUGAAACUGUUACAAAUUGCUGUCUUUUCCCCUACCUCAGAAUAGCAUUCCUUUCGAACACCAUGGCAAGUAGCUGCUCGUCUCCUUUCGUUGGAAGGCAGCACUGGGUGAAUUUUCCAUGUUAACUUCUAAUAAAGGAGGAAAAUACAGGGAACUUCGUGUAGCUACAGAUUCCUGCUCGGGUAACUACCAGUGUUCUCCAGUCUGCUGUGCACCGAUGAAAAUUAUUUUGCCAUGGAGGGCAGAUAAUGCAUGGCUGAUCUCCUAUGUUACCAAUGGC
Tyto alba (common barn owl) is the source of this 6191-nucleotide RNA transcript. It is a transcript of the gene named casein kinase 1 delta, with no coding region annotated. The transcript is spliced from 11 exons. Lineage: Eukaryota; Metazoa; Chordata; Aves; Strigiformes; Tytonidae. The record is from RefSeq and is a predicted model, not a curated record.